AGACCCUUAACAGUUUGAGCCAUCCAGGUGCCCCUGGAAUUUUCUUAAAUGAUCAUGAGUUGGUCAGGGGUUAGCUUACAUCAACCUUAGUAAGUUUUGCUUAUGGUUCCCAGAGGUACAAACAAGAAAUAAACCAGGUCAGGUUGGUCUUGCAAAGUAAGCUGAAUUGAGCUUUGUUUGUAUCACCGGACUGGUUUUGUUUCCUUGGUGAAUUUGCAAAGCUGGUCUCUUUUUUUUUUUUUUUUUAAACAGACCCUAAAGUGAGCUCUCUCCUCCUUACAUUCCCUACCCCAAAAUACAGGCGAUCCCAGCCUCUCAAGGGUCUCAAUGUAGCUUGCUAACGUUUGGAAGUCUUGAACUGCAAGUCCUCUGCUAUUCCUAAAUAAACUCAUCUUUUUGACAUUUUUGCACUUGUCUCAGUUUUCCUCUUUAUUUUGGUUGACACCUUCUACCCAUCCCUAUCUGAUACUCAACACAUUUCUCACCCUGCUUUUCAUAUGCCACCUCUCAAUUUCCACUUCCACAAUCCUAAUUUAGGUUCCUUCUUAACUGUCACCUAUGCCAUGGCAAUCACUUGCUAUGGUUUCCCUUUCUUUCACUUCGCGUUCCUUUGAUCUAUGUAAAAACAUAUUUGCAUACAUAGUUUUCAAAAACAGCUCUGAUCACUGAUCUACUCCCACUCUGAAAUUUUCAAGUCUCCCACUUUCUCCAGAGUAAUCUACACAGCCAGUAAGCCACCAUUCUUGACAAAGUCUCAAUUUGUCUUUCAAAUUUCUUACCACUCCCUUUAACACUAAUAGUGGUCCUCAGACUUUGGUAUAAUCAGAAUCAUCCCUGAGGUUCCUUUCAAUAAUACAUCUGCCCGGGAUCCAACCCUAGGAUUUCUGAUUAGAUAGUCUGGGUUGUGCUCCAGGCUUUUUUGGUUUUUUGUUGUCUUUGAUGCUGGAGGACAUACAUACUAAGUUUCCUCCUGGUGUUUUCUAAAUCGCCGAAUUUUGAGAAACACUACACUCUUUCGACUUUACCUACAUUUCUAAGUUCCCCCGUGUUUUCUCAUUUAAUUCGGCGUCAAAUUAUUUCUUCUCCCAGAAUCUAUUUUCAAAACCUAUCUUAUCUUUCCAGAAUCAGUUCAAAUGCCACUUCUUCCAGGAAGUCUUUCCUGUUCUCCUGCGCAUUUCUUUGAUAUUUAGCUGCACUUUUCUUGUGGGAAGCGUAUCUAGGAUGCGCCCAAGAGCCCGAGCAGCCAAAAGAGUUCACAGGACGUAACAGGACACACUCCUCAUUCCACCCCAGCCCUCCAGCCCUCCCCCGGGAAUCGGCCAAGCGCAGUAAAUCCUACUGGAUCACUAUCAGAAUCGAUAAUUCUUCCCAGAAAUGCGGGACACAACUCUUUCCAGACGCCCUCCCCAGUUAUGAAACAAAGGACCUGAAGCCACAAAAGACGUCCCAAAGUCCAAGGGCAGGGAGUUGAGAGGCAGAGAAGAAUCGCACAACGGCUGAAAACGCACUAGCCUGAAAAUGGAGAGACCACUCUAAAGCAACACAAAAGACACUUCCGCCUUCCGGCCCACUCCUCACGUGACAGUUGCCUCGCCCUCCAAUUGGCUGCUCCUCGCACCCUCCCGACAGGACUUCACCCACGUGACCUGAUGGCGGCCGGAGAAUUGGUUGUCCGGCGGGGGCUACUGAACAGGAAAGGGGGUUCUCCGAGUGGCAGCAAGGCUGAGAAAGCGGGAAGCCGGACCGGGUGUACGACGGAGCCGAAAGGCUGACGGUUCGCCGCUAUGAGUCUCCGCAGGCCGGAUCAAACCUUCCGAGACCCGACGUAGGAGCUUGAGGGGUUCGGAGAGCGGGCUGCGGAUUCCUGCCCUUGGUUUGAGCGCUGGCUUCGGCCUUACUCGUAUUUCCCUGCAAGGACUGCCCGUCUCAGUCUUUACUGAAGUCGGUGGGGUUUGGACUUUAUUAUUAUUAUUUUGUUGAGGGUCCGUUGUAUGGGAGCACUGGGUGUCCAGCGCAGCGCGCCGUGGAGACCGCCAUGAGGUAGAAGCUAGGGGAGGGAGGGCUUAGAGAUGCUUAACCAAUGGUCUUUACCUACGUGCAGUAUUGCCGGUUGAGGUGAAAAAUCUGGCUUUGAUAUCUUCAUGGAGGACUACAUUAUUUCAAUCCUGCUGGUUCAGUUUCGUUAUUGACUUAUUACAAUAUUAAAAAUGUUUAAUUAACUGGUGUUUGUUUCGGUAAAACCUUGUGAUCUAAUAAGAAA
This is a long non-coding RNA of Suricata suricatta (meerkat), 2260 nucleotides long. RefSeq lists it as uncharacterized. NCBI's taxonomy places the organism in Eukaryota, Metazoa, Chordata, Mammalia, Carnivora, Herpestidae. The record is from RefSeq and is a predicted model, not a curated record. The transcript is spliced from 2 exons.